RNAcentral lists this ribosomal RNA (137 nucleotides) under uncultured eukaryote. Its description in RNAcentral is "partial 18S ribosomal RNA". It matches the Rfam family "Eukaryotic small subunit ribosomal RNA", at positions 1299 to 1458 of the family's 1831-position model. The record is from RNAcentral.
UGGUGGAGCGAUUUGUCUGGUUAAUUCCGAUAACGAACGAGACUCUAGCCUAUUAAAUAGUUCGCCGAUUUUUCGAGUCGGCGUCAACUUCUUAGAGGGACAAGAGUCGUAUAGGCACGCGAGAUUGAGCAAUAACA